GACGAACGCUGGCGGCGUGCUUAACACAUGCAAGUCGAACGGAAAGGCCCUGCUUUUGUGGGGUGCUCGAGUGGCGAACGGGUGAGUAACACGUGAGUAACCUGCCCUUGACUUUGGGAUAACUUCAGGAAACUGGGGCUAAUACCGGAUAGGAGCUCCUGCUGCAUGGUGGGGGUUGGAAAGUUUCGGCGGUUGGGGAUGGACUCGCGGCUUAUCAGCUUGUUGGUGGGGUAGUGGCUUACCAAGGCUUUGACGGGUAGCCGGCCUGAGAGGGUGAACGGCCACAUUGGGACUGAGAUACGGCCCAGACUCCUACGGGAGGCAGCAGUGGGGAAUAUUGCACAAUGGGCGGAAGCCUGAUGCAGCAACGCCGCGUGCGGGAUGACGGCCUUCGGGUCGUAAACCGCUUUCGCCUGUGACGAAGCGUGAGUGACGGUAAUGGGAAAAGAAGCACCGGCUAACUACGUG
Molecule: ribosomal RNA, 468 nt
Filed under: uncultured bacterium
Lineage: Bacteria
Description: partial 16S ribosomal RNA
Rfam family: Bacterial small subunit ribosomal RNA
Source: RNAcentral